GCUUGUCUCAAAGAUUAAGCCAUGCAUGUCUAAGUACAAGCCUCAGUAAGGUGAAACCGCGAAUGGCUCAUUAAAUCACACCUAAUCUACUGGAAAGUUACUAGUUACUUGGAUAACUGAGGUAAUUCUUGAGCUAAUACAUGCGAAAAAUCUCGACUCACGGAGAGAUGCUUUUAUUAGAUCAAAACCAAACGGCUUCGGCCGUCUCAUUGGUGACUCUGAAUAACUUUGGGCUGAUCGCAUCGAGGUAACUCGGCGACGGAUCAUUCAAGUUUCUGCCCUAUCAACUUUCGAUGGUACGGUAUUGGCCUACCAUGGUGACCACGGGUAACGGGGGAUUAGGGUUCGAUUCCGGAGAGGGCGCCUGAGAAAUGGCGACCACUUCUAAGGAAGGCAGCAGG
This 401-nucleotide ribosomal RNA is filed under the name uncultured fungus. RNAcentral describes it as "partial small subunit ribosomal RNA". It matches the Rfam family "Eukaryotic small subunit ribosomal RNA", at positions 30 to 432 of the family's 1831-position model. The record is from RNAcentral. Lineage: Eukaryota; Fungi.